AUUGAACGCUGGCGGCAGGCCUAACACAUGCAAGUCGAGCGGAUGAAGGGAGCUUGCUCCUGGAUUCAGCGGCGGACGGGUGAGUAAUGCCUAGGAAUCUGCCUGGUAGUGGGGGAUAACGUCCGGAAACGGGCGCUAAUAUCGCAUACGUCCUGAGGGAGAAAGUGGGGGAUCUUCGGACCUCACGCUAUCAGAUGAGCCUAGGUCGGAUUAGCUAGUUGGUGGGGUAAAGGCCUACCAAGGCGACGAUCCGUAACUGGUCUGAGAGGAUGAUCAGUCACACUGGAACUGAGACACGGUCCAGACUCCUACGGGAGGCAGCAGUGGGGAAUAUUGGACAAUGGGCGAAAGCCUGAUCCAGCCAUGCCGCGUGUGUGAAGAAGGUCUUCGGAUUGUAAAGCACUUUAAGUUGGGAGGAAGGGCAGUAAGUUAAUACCUUCCUGUUUUGACGUUACCAACAGAAUAAGCACCGGCUAACUUCGUG
This 484-nucleotide ribosomal RNA is filed under the name uncultured bacterium. RNAcentral describes it as "partial 16S ribosomal RNA". It matches the Rfam family "Bacterial small subunit ribosomal RNA", at positions 30 to 507 of the family's 1533-position model. The record is from RNAcentral.